RNAcentral lists this ribosomal RNA (489 nucleotides) under Triticum aestivum (bread wheat). RNAcentral's name for it is "partial small subunit ribosomal RNA". The record is from RNAcentral. Lineage: Eukaryota; Viridiplantae; Streptophyta; Magnoliopsida; Poales; Poaceae.
CUCGUGGCUGGGUGGGGCAUGGCCGUCUUGGAGAAUUAUCAGAGGACGAAGCCCAAGCCGCUGUCAGAGAGGAGCAGGUUCGGCUUGAGAUUGGGCCGCGUCUCCCUCUCCUUCCCGCCUUCGUGUUGCGCCUCCUCACCCUCCGGCGUCGCAACGAACUUGGGUGUUCGUCUCUGGUGGUAGGGCCGAAGUGGCAGGUGCGUACGACAGGGUUGGGGAUUAGGUUGGACCGCACUUGUAGUAACCCGUCGGCAUCGACGGCGCCAUGGGUAGGGUGGGGAGCAAGGAGAUGGAUUUGGGAAUCGUGGUGGCUCAAAGAUCGAUUGGGAACAAUCAGGGAGAGAGGGAGAACCGACGAUAGCGGGGACGACAUAGGAGUUUGAUCGGAGGGAGGGUGCAGGGUUGGUCGCAGGAAAGAGGGAGAGAUGAGGAGAUGGGAGAUGAGACUGGCAGGUCGUGGGAGAAGUGGAGGUCGUCAGAGUUUUUCUU